Molecule: ribosomal RNA, 2459 nt
Filed under: SAR202 cluster bacterium bin87
Lineage: Bacteria; Bacillati; Chloroflexota; Dehalococcoidia
Description: bacterial LSU rRNA
Rfam family: Bacterial large subunit ribosomal RNA
Source: RNAcentral
AGGGCUUAUGGUGGAUGCCUUGGGACCAAGGGCCGAAGAAGGACGCGGUAAGGCUGCGAAAAGCCUCGAUGAGCCGUCUAACAGGCGUAGUCGGGGAUCUCCGAAUUGGGUAACCUGUUCCGGCGUUGAGUCGGUCCACCCGCAUUGCGGGAGGUAAGUGGGGGAACUGAAACAUCUAAGUACCCCGAGGAAAAGAAAUCAACCGAGAUUCCCUUAGUAGUGGCGAACGAACGGGGAACAGCCCAAACCGCGGCGACCAAACGGCAUGAGGGCCUGUGUCGUUGCGGGGUUACAGGACACUUCUGGGGUCGCCUCAUCAGGCUCCGGGGAGUUACAAACUUCAUCUCUAGUCGAAGGACCCUGGGAAGGGCCGCCGUAGACGGUGACAGCCCGGUAGACGAAAGGGAUGGAGCUUCCGAAGUUGAUCCUAAGUACCAUGGGGCACGUGAAACCCUGUGGGAAGUUGGGGGGACCACCCUCCAAGGCUAAAUACCCUUGGUCACCGAUAGCGCACCAGUACCGUGAGGGAAAGGUGAAAAGAACCCCUGGCGGGGAGUGAAAUAGACCUGAAACCAUAAGCCUACAGAAUGUCGGAGUCUGCUUUUUGCGGAUGACGGCGUGCCUAUUGAAGAAUGAUCCGGGGACUUACUGUAUGGAGCGAGGUUAAGGGACUGUAGUUCCGGAGCCGUAGCGAAAGCGAGUCUGAACAGGGCGACCAGUUCCAUGUAGUAGACCCGAAACCGAGUGAGCUACCCAUGGCCAGAUUGAAGGUUCGUUAACGCGAACUGAAGGAUCGAACUCGUGGCUAGUACAAAAGCCUGGGAUGAGCUGUGGGUAGAGGUGAAAUGCUAAUCGAACUCGGAAAUAGCUGGUUCUCCCCGAAAUGCAUUUAGGUGCAGCCUCGGGAACUAGGAGGACGGAGGUAGGGCACUGAAUGGGCUAGGGGGCGUGAGCUUACCAAACUCAAUCAAACCACCAAUGCCGUUCUACCGAUACCCGGGAGUGAGACAGUCACAGAUAAGUGCGAUUGUCGAAAGGGAAACAGCCCAGACCACCGGCUAAGGCCCCCAAGCGCAGACUAAGUGGGAAACGAGGUAGGGUUCCCAAAACAGCCAGGAGGUUGGCUUAGAAGCAGCCACCCUUUAAAGAGUGCGUAAUAGCUCACUGGUCGAGGGAUCCUGCGCGGAAAAUGUAACGGGGCUCAAGUCUGUCGCCGAAGCCGUGGAUGUACAGGUAUUAGUACCUGGGCAUGGUAGGGGAGCGUUCCUCGGGCGACGAAGGUAAGUCGUGAGGCUUGCUGGAGCGCGGGGAAGUGAGAAUCCCGGAAUGAGUAGCGUAAAUCAGGGUGAGAAUCCCUGACACCGAAAGCCCAAGGUUUCCUACGCAACGUUGUUCGGCGUAGGGUUAGUCGGUCCUAAGCCGUAGGCAAGAGCCGAAGGCGAUGGACAGCAGGUUAAUAUUCCUGCACCGCCGUUGUUUCGAUUUAAAACCAAGGAGGGGUGCGGGAGGCUAGGCGGGGCGUGCCCAUUGGACAUGGUGCGUCCUUGCUUGUAGGCGUGCCGGGGCAGGCAAAUCCACCCUGGUGUUAAGCUGAGGAGUGAGGGAAUCCUGACCUACGGGAAAGGAGACCCCGUUGAGGCCAUACCGACAAGAAAAGCUUCGUGGUUAUGGAACCGCGGCGACCGUACCGCAAACCGCCACUGGUGGGCUGGGAUAAACGUCCCUAGGUGUUCGAGCUAACCUCCGCUAAGGAACUAGACAAAAGGGCCCCGUAACUUCGGGAGAAGGGGCCCCCUGGAUGGUGAAGCCACUAGCUGGUGGAGCUGUCUGGGGGCGCAGAGAAGAAGGCCGGGCGACUGUUUAACAAAAACACAGGUCUGUGCUAAGGGGAAACCCUACGUAUACAGGCUGACGCCUGCCCAGUGCCGGAAGGUUAAGGGGCGGUGUGCAAGCACCAAACUGAAGCCCCGGUGAACGGCGGCCGUAACUCUAACGGUCCUAAGGUAGCGAAGUCCCUUGUCGGGUAAGUUCCGACCCGCAUGAAUGGUUGAACGACUUGGCCAUUGUCUCGGCGGGGGGCUCGGUGAAAUUGCGGUGCCCGUGAAGACGCGGGCGACCCGCGGCAGGACAAAAAGACCCCGUGGAGCUUUACUGUAGCCUGGCAUUGGGUUGGGAACUGUCAUGUGUAGGAUAGGUGGGAGACUUAGAAGCGCCUACGCCAGUAGGUGUGGAGUCGUCGUUGAAAUACCACCCUUGGCUGUUUUUGGUUCUAACCUCAGCAACACUGAGGAACAGUGCUUGGUGGGCAGUUUAACUGGGGCGGUUGCCUCCAAAAAAGUAACGGAGGCGCCCAAAGGUCCUCUCAGGACGGAUGGAAAUCGUCCACAGAACGCAUUGGCAUAAGAGGGCUUGACUGCGAGACCUACAAGUCGAGCAGGGACGAAAGUCGGGCAAAGUGA